This 31-nucleotide non-coding RNA is filed under the name Mus musculus (house mouse). The record is from RNAcentral. Lineage: Eukaryota; Metazoa; Chordata; Mammalia; Rodentia; Muridae.
UGCAGCAAAGCCAACUCCACCGAAAAGCCAA